CAGCAGCCGCGGGAAUACAGAGGGUGCGAGCGUUAAUCGGAUUUACUGGGCGUAAAGCGUGCGUAGGCGGCUUUUUAAGUCGGAUGUGAAAUCACUGAGCUUAACUUAGGAAUUGCAUUCGAUACUGGGAAGCUAGAGUAUGGGAGAGGAUGGUAGAAUUCCAGGUGUAGCGGUGAAAUGCGUAGAGAUCUGGAGGAAUACCGAUGGCGAAGGCAGCCAUCUGGCCUAAUACUGACGCUGAGGUUCGAAAGCAUGGGGAGCAAACAGGAUUAGAUACCCGUGUAGUCCCUGUCUCUUAUAC
This 301-nucleotide ribosomal RNA is filed under the name uncultured bacterium. RNAcentral describes it as "partial 16S ribosomal RNA". It matches the Rfam family "Bacterial small subunit ribosomal RNA", at positions 509 to 807 of the family's 1533-position model. The record is from RNAcentral.